RNAcentral lists this ribosomal RNA (576 nucleotides) under Penicillium solitum. Its description in RNAcentral is "partial 18S ribosomal RNA". The stretch from base 231 to 384 matches the Rfam family "5.8S ribosomal RNA". Lineage: Eukaryota; Fungi; Ascomycota; Eurotiomycetes; Eurotiales; Aspergillaceae. The record is from RNAcentral.
GGAAGUAAAAAAUCGUAACAAGGUUUCCGUAGGUGAACCUGCGGAAGGAUCAUUACCGAGUGAGGGCCCUCUGGGUCCAACCUCCCACCCGUGUUUAUCGUACCUUGUUGCUUCGGCGGGCCCGCCUAUUCUGGCCGCCGGGGGGCAUCCGCCCCCGGGCCCGCGCCCGCCGAAGACACAUUGAACGCUGUCUGAAGAUUGCAGUCUGAGCACUUAGCUAAAUCAGUUAAAACUUUCAACAACGGAUCUCUUGGUUCCGGCAUCGAUGAAGAACGCAGCGAAAUGCGAUAAGUAAUGUGAAUUGCAGAAUUCAGUGAAUCAUCGAGUCUUUGAACGCACAUUGCGCCCCCUGGUAUUCCGGGGGGCAUGCCUGUCCGAGCGUCAUUGCUGCCCUCAAGCACGGCUUGUGUGUUGGGCUCUCGCCCCCCUUCCCGGGGGGGCGGGCCCGAAAGGCAGCGGCGGCACCGCGUCCGGUCCUCGAGCGUAUGGGGCUUCGUCACCCGCUCUGUAGGCCCGGCCGGCGCCCGCCGGCGACCCCAAUCAAUCUUCCAGGUGACCUCGGAUCAGGUGGAACCC